AUUGAACGCUGGCGGCAUGCUUUACACAUGCAAGUCGAACGGUAACAGGCCUUCGGGUGCUGACGAGUGGCGAACGGGUGAGUAAUGCAUCGGAACGUACCCAGAGGUGGGGGAUAACGCAGCGAAAGCUGUGCUAAUACCGCAUGUGAUCUGAGGAUGAAAGCGGGGGACCGAGCAGCAAUGUUUGGCCUCGCGCCUUUGGAGCGGCCGAUGUCGGAUUAGCUAGUUGGUGGGGUAAAGGCCUACCAAGGCGACGAUCCGUAGCUGGUCUGAGAGGACGACCAGCCACACUGGGACUGAGACACGGCCCAGACUCCUACGGGAGGCAGCAGUGGGGUAUUUUGGACAAUGGGCGCAAGCCUGAUCCAGCAAUGCCGCGUGCGGGAAGAAGGCCUUCGGGUUGUAAACCGCUUUUGGCAGGAACGAAACGGUGUCCGCUAAUACCGGGCGCUAAUGACGGUACCUGCAGAAUAAGCACCGGCUAACUACGUG
RNAcentral lists this ribosomal RNA (492 nucleotides) under uncultured bacterium. RNAcentral describes it as "partial 16S ribosomal RNA". It matches the Rfam family "Bacterial small subunit ribosomal RNA", at positions 30 to 507 of the family's 1533-position model. The record is from RNAcentral.